AGCAAGACCCAUGAGAGUGUGUUUUCACGAACGAAGAAUUGAUUCAUUUCAUGGAUUUGGAACACAGACUCUGUAAUAUUAUUUUUCAUUCAAAUGGGAUUUCUCUUCCAGAAGUCGCAUUGUAACGACAAUCACGAUCACGAAGAUGUCAAACUCGACUUUGAAACUCCAGCGGAUGCUAACCAAUGGUACCAUUCUCAGGACCUUGAUCGCUUUCUCUCAAAAGAAUCAUCCAAGCCGUCAUUUGCACUAUUUUGUUGUUCCUUACGGGACCGCAAGAUUAAUUCUAAAAGCGUUCACACACAAAAAAAAAUCAUGAUUGUUAGGCCAAGAUCAUCUUUUGCCUAGCCGAGGUUUGCAAAUGCGAGCACGGAAGUAUGUAGAAAUGAAGCACACAGGGUCUUGGUGUACGGGUGCUUGCUUGACCCAUUCUCAUCGUAUUGAGCGAAAAAAUCUUCGCUUAUCCAAGGAAGGUCACGAAGGACCGAACACUUGAUUUGCUUCAAUGUGGCCUCCGUCCCGAAGUUAUCUUGAAAAAAUACCUUGCACCCUCUGACAUUGGUCCUACUCACAAGCCCGUUGUGCCGGCUGACGUCUACCAAAUAGAAAAGGCAGCCAAUAUCAAAGGUUAUGACAACAAGCUAUCCGAAGUGGACAACGUCUCCAUUUUAAUGGCAAAACCAUCGCCAUCGACAUCGUUCAUCGCCUUUAGUUAUGGGCAGAAAUUUUCCCCAACUGGCCUGCCUUAAGAAAUUCAAGAAAUAGUGGUCGACACAUCCGGUUCUUUUCUUUUGUGCCAUGCAUCAAAGCCGAUGCUAGAAAGGUUCAAACGCCAUCCUACCAUUGUUUCGAUCGAUGGCACCCACGGCACAAAUGCUGCUAAGUGUAUACUCAUUUCCAUUCACGUUUUUGGUGAGUUUCACUCAGUUGAAAAAACAUGCAUUUGAAAAUCUGGCCAGCGUUAGGGCGGCUUUACACUAAGAUGAAUAAU
Tigriopus californicus is the source of this 991-nucleotide long non-coding RNA. RefSeq lists it as uncharacterized. The record is from RefSeq and is a predicted model, not a curated record. The transcript is spliced from 3 exons. NCBI's taxonomy places the organism in Eukaryota, Metazoa, Arthropoda, Copepoda, Harpacticoida, Harpacticidae.